Molecule: ribosomal RNA, 440 nt
Filed under: uncultured bacterium
Lineage: Bacteria
Description: partial 16S ribosomal RNA
Rfam family: Bacterial small subunit ribosomal RNA
Source: RNAcentral
CCUACGGGUGGCAGCAGUGGGGGAUAUUGCACAAUGGGGGAAACCCUGAUGCAGCGACGCCGCGUGUAGGAAGACGGUCCUCUGGAUUGUAAACUACUGUCCCCAGGGACGAAGAUGACGUUACCUGGGGAGGAUGCUCCGGCAAACUACGUGCCAGCAGCCUCGGUACUACGUAGGGAGCGAGCGUUGUCCGGAAUUACUGGGGGUAAAGGGAGCGUAGGCGGGGAUGCAAGGUGGGUGUUAAAUCUACCGGCUCAACUGGUAGUCGCACUCAGAACUGGAGCUCUUGAGUGAAGUAGAGGCAGGCGGAAUUCCUAGUGUAGCGGUGAAAUGCGUAGAUAUUAGGAAGAACACCAGUGGCGAAGGCAGCCUGCUGGGCUGUUACUGACGCUGAGGCUCGAAAGUGUGGGGAGCAAACAGGAUUAGAUACCCUUGUAGUC